UUAAAAUUUGCAUUUAACCCCUCGUUAUUACCUAAAACCCUUCGGAGGUGGAGAGUUCAAUUCCUCUGCUCUCCCUCAAAACCUCUCUUUUAACUCUAUUCUCAUUCUCCGCCUCACAUCACAUGGCUGACAGAGACAGACACCGCGACCGCGACCGCGAACGUGACAGAGAAAGACGCCGAGACAAAGAAGAUCGAGACCGGGACCGAGACCGAGACCGAGACCGGGACCGGGACAGAGACAGACGCCGAGACAAAGAAGAUCGUGAACGUGAACGUGAACGUGAUAGAGAGCGCACGCGUAGCACACGUUCCCAUACAAGGUCGCCAGAGCAUACACGGUCACGACACGCUCGUUCUCGUUCACGGUCCAGGACACCAUCUCAGCGGCGAAAUCGGCAUCAGCGGACACCGUCACCAUCGCCGCCAAGAAAACGGCAUCGUCACGGAAGUGAAGACGGAAAGAGAGAGAGGGAUAGGCAGAGGGAAAUAGUGUCAGAUUUUGUUGAUGGAAUAGCAAGGGAGGUAGUGGAGGGAGAGGUGAAAGAAGGAGGAGGAGGAGGGGAGGACGUGGCAGUGGAUGAGGAUGAGAUUGAGAUGAUGAAGAAAUUAGGGAUUCCAGUUGGUUUUGAUUCGACGAAAGGAAAGCCUGUGCCUGGUGCUGAUGUGAGUGGCGUUAGACCCGUUACUAAGCGGCAGCCUAGGCAGUACAUGAAUCGACGAGGAGGGUUCAACCGGCCGUUGCCUCCUGAACGCAAUCGCUAGAUGUUUAUUUAUGUCGCUUGUGGAAUUCUGAUAAGACAAUUAUUUUUCUUCUCUUGGGAUUGGGUGUGGAGAGAGAAGGUGAAAACCAAUUGCCAUUUUAAGGAAUAGAUGGAAGAAUCUGACAAUAAGGUGACUUGAAUGGUUGAAGCAGAUUAAUAGGAUCCUCUGGAAGAUCGUUUAAGAGGUUUAUGGCGUGCCUUGAGAUGAGGUUUUUCUAUCAUUGUAUGGGUGUACUGUUUUUGAUUUUUUUAAUUGCUCUUUAAGAAAGUAAUCAGAGUGAUUAGAUUUAGACAUGGAUUUUGGGAUUGAUAUUCUCAAGUCAAAUCAGAUGUACUUUAUAAAUGGCACAUGAGAAGAUGUUAACUAUUGAAUCUGUGAACACUUAAGUUUAUAGUUCUAACUGCCAUUGACAGUAAUAUGCCUCAGGAUCAUAUCGAUUUGUCGGGCAGCUAA
Ricinus communis (castor bean) is the source of this 1217-nucleotide RNA transcript. It is a transcript of the gene named U4/U6.U5 small nuclear ribonucleoprotein 27 kDa protein, with no coding region annotated. The transcript is spliced from 3 exons. Lineage: Eukaryota; Viridiplantae; Streptophyta; Magnoliopsida; Malpighiales; Euphorbiaceae. The record is from RefSeq and is a predicted model, not a curated record.